UAGGGAAUAUUGGGCAAUGGAGGCAACUCUGACCCAGCAACGCCGCGUGAAGGAAGAAGGUUUUCGGAUUGUAAACUUCUUUUAUAAGGGACAAAGAAAAUGAUGGUACCUUAUGAAUCAGCCACGGCAAACUAUGUGCCAGCAGCCGCGGUAAUACAUAGGUGGCAAGCGUUAUCCGGAAUGACUGGGCGUAAAGGGUGCGUAGGUGGUUUUUUAAGUUAGAUGUGAAAUCCCGGGGCUCAACCCCGGAACUGCAUUUAAAACUGAAAGACUGGAGUGCGGUAGAGGUAAGUGGAAUUCCUAGUGUAGCGGUAAAAUGCGUAGAGAUUAGGAGGAACACCGGUGGCGAAGGCGACUUACUGGACCGUAACUGACACUGAGGCACGAAAGCGUGGGGAGCAAACA
RNAcentral lists this ribosomal RNA (405 nucleotides) under uncultured bacterium. RNAcentral's name for it is "partial 16S ribosomal RNA". It matches the Rfam family "Bacterial small subunit ribosomal RNA", at positions 355 to 774 of the family's 1533-position model. The record is from RNAcentral.